Molecule: ribosomal RNA, 253 nt
Filed under: uncultured bacterium
Lineage: Bacteria
Description: partial 16S ribosomal RNA
Rfam family: Bacterial small subunit ribosomal RNA
Source: RNAcentral
UACGUAGGGGGCGAGCGUUGUCCGGAUUCAUUGGGCGUAAAGGGUGCGUAGGCGGCGCGGUAAGUCGGGUGUGAAAUCUCGGAGCUUAACUCCGAAACUGCAUUCGAUACUGCCGUGCUUGAGGACUGGAGAGGAGACUGGAAUUUACGGUGUAGCGGUGAAAUGCGUAGAUAUCGUAAGGAAGACCAGUGGCGAAGGCGGGUCUCUGGACAGUUCCUGACGCUGAGGCACGAAGGCCAGGGGAGCAAACGGG